Molecule: non-coding RNA, 2054 nt
Organism: Coffea arabica (coffee)
Lineage: Eukaryota; Viridiplantae; Streptophyta; Magnoliopsida; Gentianales; Rubiaceae
Source: RefSeq, a predicted model, not a curated record
UGGGCGUGUACCCGCAGCUGCGGUAGAGUGAGCGCAAUGGAGAUGCUAGACUAGAGAGUAGAGACCUCUCGCAACUUCCCUUCCCUGGCAAUGUGGUUUUCCAAUCCAAUCUAGAGGCUCUCUUUCCCCAUCAUCCCAAUCAUAAGAUGAUUCGCCGGACUUCUUAUCGGCAUCAGUUCGUAUACCAAAACCUUCUCCUGUCCUUCCCCACAAAUACUUUACUAUUUCCUCCCCUCAGCUUUACUAGAUUGGGAUGCCCCAAGCAUGCAUUUCGACGUCUUUGUUUCCUCCCGGUGAAACAGGACUUUAAUUGCUACAAUCUCAUGAGCCUGCAUCUUCAUCAAUUCCAGGGCAUAUACAAAUAAAAGUUUUCAAGUACUAGCUAGCGGUAUGGUCACGCAGCUAAUGAAAUGUAAGAAAAGUCCUGAAGAAUUUGCUAAUGAACCAGAUGCAGAAGCGGCCCUCUAUAAUGGUUUUAACUUGAUUGUUGAUCAUCUUUGAUCAAUGUCCAUGCUCUACAUCACCAACUGCCAAAAGACAGCGGCAUUAUUGCUACACAGUUUCUCCUGCUAUUCAUGUCUUGUCUAAUGCAAAACUCUGACAGGCCAGCCCAUGCCCUAAGUUUGAUCAGGAACGGACGAAGCUUUGAACAGUUGUGGACAUUUCAGGCAAAAAGGCAGUUGAAUUAGGAGAUUUCCUUGGGGCAUGUUUGUGUUCUAAAUUUUAGUCUCUUCGUUGAAGUUAUUUUCAAUUUUCACGCAUAUUGUCAUUUUUAUAGUCCCGCAAUCAAAGCAACAUUCUACUUUGCAUGUUUAUUAGACCAUAAGUUUAUAUCACUGCAGGCUGAAAGAUUGGAGCAAAGUUUCAAGGAUCCAAUGGAUAAUAUGGCGAAGGAGAGGUUCCCUUAAAAGAGACGUCUAAAAAGUUAAUGCAUGGCACCACUAAAUGUUUUCUGGACUGGGACUAUCAUUUGAGUUCCAUAUUUGUUGAUGCUGAUUUGCCUAUGUUAAUCUCGCUCUCUCUCUCUCAUGCCCUCGGGCUCACAAGUUGUGUACGUGCAUGCUAGUGUUCAUGUGAAUGACCAUUGAAACAUGUCUUUUUGCGUAUGCUGAAGAAUAUCUCAAUGCGCUCAAAGAUUCUUUAAUUUAUGUUUAAUGCACAGGGACGUUAUGGUACUAGAAGUACGUCUGCAUUGACUAUGAAUACAAGUGGGAACAUGCCAUUUUUUGAAAAGUAUCUUGAUGCAGACUUGUUGAAGACGCAGACCAUCAGCUUCCAGAUUAGGCAAGAAAAGAUGACAUUGUGUCUUUCAAGAAUGUUAAAACUAAACAAACCUGUAACACAUAUAGGAUGCGAAACUAAAAUCUGCAACCAAGUAUGAAGAAUCUGUUACUUUCUUUAUGAAGGCAAAGAGUUUCAGGCUUUGUUUUAUUCAGGAAAAUAAAAAGAGUUGAUUCGUUAACCUUUUCUUCUUCUUUCUUUUUUUUGGUUGUUUUAUAUAUAUCCGCUCUGUGCUAUAUUUCUUUUAUUUUACUUUUGGCUUAUUUUGUUAGGGUAAGGGAGAAAGGGAGAGACGAAAAAGGAGGCACCUUUUUUAAAGGAGUUGCUAAUUCCUUUGAAGGCCAUACCCAACUUGCCACUUCCUGAUUUAGGAUCAGAUUUGAGCUAUCACGAUUUUGAUGAGCAACUUUCACUUCUUGAAAAGGUUUUUUUGGCUUCCUCUCUUUUGAAAGAUUAAAAAUUACCGUGUGUAGUAGUUGUAGUUGUAGUAGUUGUUGUUGUUGUGCCUGGAAAAGUCCUAAGCGAUGGUGGGUGAUACUACUGUUGUUUGGAAAAGAUGGAAAGGACAUGGCCUUUCAAUGGGCGAGGGGACGUACGAUGUUAGAACAUAUUAUUGUAGGAUGAUUUUACUGCUCCAGUCUUGUGGACAUUACUUGAUACGUCAUUCAUGUACUUUAUUCAGUCCUAAUGGAUUGAAAGAAUAUAUAAGAAGGUUACAUGCUCGGGUAUGGGGAAUUUGUAAUUAAUUGAGACCUGAUGUUAUUAUGAAGAAA